This is an RNA transcript of Orussus abietinus, 4786 nucleotides long. It is a transcript of the gene named SUN domain-containing ossification factor, with no coding region annotated. NCBI's taxonomy places the organism in Eukaryota, Metazoa, Arthropoda, Insecta, Hymenoptera, Orussidae. The transcript is spliced from 10 exons. The record is from RefSeq and is a predicted model, not a curated record.
UAGGCUACCAUGAGACAGCUCUGGAAAAGAUGAGGCUGGCCUUGUCGUGUGUUUAUUGGAUCCUUCUGCUUGUCUCCGUGAUUUCCAGUGGUCUCUUGUUCUUAAUAGUUGCCUCGGAAGGAACUCAGUCUUUGGAACCAAGCGACGUCGAUGUCGACGAUAAGAAUUUUCGAUCGUAUGAAAAUGUAUCGAGCGAAAAUGUUGGAACGUAUAUUCGCCCACUGGCGGAGAAAACACCUAAAGCGAAAGGCGAUAGAACAGAAACAUCCUACCAGGAUAUCGUUACGAAGGCUUCGUCUAUCGUCUUUGAGAAAGUCUCAUCGGUGUCGGCAAGCUUUGAACUUGGAUCGGAAGACAAGACGCACGCAAACCCAGAGGUUGUGGAAAUUCUGUCCGAAGGUUUGACGCAGCAGCCAAAUCUCUCGGAAGGAGUCUCGCGGACCGGAGGGCAGGCCGGCGCGUUGACCCUGGCGGACACGGAACUGCGGAGCCUGGCCGAGGCGGGGUCGAAGGCCGGACCGUCCCCGAACCUGACCUACGAUCGCCGAAGCGUCCAGGAAGAGUCCAACGCUACGACCGAGGAGCGAGCCGAGGAGCGAGCCGAGGAGGUGCUGGUGGUGCGAGCGGAGCAGAAGACGGGGACGCGCGGCUCCUCCGGAGGACCGUUCUCGAUGCCGGGCCCGCCGGUCGUCGACGACCACGAGGAGGAGGAGGAGGAGGAGGAGGAGGAGACGGCAUCGGACGUCGGGGCGGGGCCCGCGACACCGACGCCUCCGGAGCUGGACGAGGGGACCGCGAGGUCGAGGCUGGCUAACGGCCCCGGAGACGACGGAGCCCCGGUUAUUCUCGACGGCUUCGUCCCCUCGGGACUCGCGGAUCCUCACGAGGACAUUCCCUCCUUUAGCGAGUGGGCUCAGAAGAGGCUCGAGGAGGCCGAGAAGAAGAAGGCGCACCCGAACGCCUCGGCGCAGAAUCCCGGCUCCGGGCCGGGUCGAUCGUCGACCCGUUCCUCCGGGAAGUCCUCGGGUCGAUCGGCUGGUCGAUCGACCAGCGGCGCCAAGAAGGUCCGCUCCAAGAAUUACGCCUCGCCGGAUUGCGGAGCCAAGAUCGUGGCCGUUAAUCCCGAAGCGCGCAGUGCUCGGAGCGUCCUGGCCUCGACGAGGGACGAAUACAUGCUCAACACCUGUACCACCCGGAUUUGGUUCGUCGUCGAACUCUGCGAAGCCAUCCAGGCCAAGAAGAUCGAGUUGGCCAACUUCGAGCUGUUCAGUUCCUCGCCCAGAGAUUUCUCCGUCUACGUGAGCGACAGGUUCCCUACGAGGGACUGGUCCCCCGUUGGUCAGUUCACGGCCCGGGACGAGCGGGACAUUCAGAGUUUCGGCCUGCAGCCUCAUCUCUUCGGAAAGUUCAUGAAGGUGGAAAUGCAUUCCCACUACGGUGAGGAGCAUUUCUGCCCGGUCUCGCUGUUCAGGGCCUACGGAACCAGUGAAUUCGAGGUUCUCGAGACGGAAACCGAGAACCAGGUACAGGAAAGUCGUCGAGACGGCGAGAUCGGCGAGGAGAAUGGUGGCGACGAGAACGACGACGACGACGAGGACGAAGACGACGAAGACGAAGAGGUCUUGGAAGCGGAAAGUGGCGAGCCACCUAGAAAUCUCUUUGGAAGUGCCAGGGACGCGGUUCUCAGUAUAGUCAAAAAGGCUGCCGAGGUUCUGGUCAAAUCCAACGGACCACGGUUCGGUAACCUGACCAUGGAGCAGCGAAAGAAUCUGGAAAACGAGGUGCGGAAGGACGAUGCCUCCAACGGCUGCGUCACGCCGAGGUACAAUCUUGUGUGCAACGAUUGCUCAGAGGAGCGAUUUUCCAAAGUCUUCCGACUGAUUAGCUGUGCCGACAUGUACCUAAACUCGUUGCUGAAGAUCGGCUUCGUCGAAAGUACCCUCCGAGAGACGGGCCUCUGCUCGCCUCACGGAUUCGACUUUUCUUCCGAACUGGAACGACAGCCGGAAGGCACUCGGGAUGACUCUACGAAAGCUCUUCGCUCGAAUUUCUUCAAAUCUUUGUUCGCUCCUGAAUACGUCAUCGCUCUUUGCAACGUUUUCGCUAGUAACGGUAGCAGGCUCGCUCUGAACUCGAGCCACCAGGUGCUUUCCGAGGAAUCGGAGAGCUCGGUGGACGAGAACACGGUGGCGGCACCGCGAGCCGUCGAGAUUCAUCCCUCGACGACGUUCGAUGCCAGGGACACCGAUGCCGCAACCGCGACGUCGUCAACGACGUCUACGUCCGACAUCAAAUCGUCCUUGGAAUCCACCACAACGGUUUCUUUGGACACGUCCACUACGAUCGCAGAUUGUAAGUCCACAGGCUCUUCCCGAGGAAGUACGAGUUCUCGGGAAGGAGCGACCGCUUCCGUCGGGUCCAUACCCGGCAAACGAGGCAUUCGAGCUCCCGAACACGAGUCUUCGACGAGUUCGAGUUCCACCGAGGCGGUUGUACCCACCGAAACCUUAGUCUCCCGUCCCGGGUAUACGAAGACCUUGAACAGAGACGAUCUGAAAACGGAGUCAAGGGCAUCGAUCGCGGAGCCUGUCAAGGAACUCCCCGAGGAGAGCGUGCAGUGCGAAGCUCCGACCACGCCGGCUCCCUCGGCUUCGAGGAGUGUUGACAACUUUGAAAGAGUCGACGUCCCCGAUAUGCCGGUCGAUGCGACGCCGCGAUCGACGAUCUCGCCUACCUUGACUCGACAGCUGGAACUCCAGGAACCCAGAGAAGCGCCGUUUGUCGAGGCGGACGACAAAGGCGAUUCGCUCGACGUUCAUUCGCGCCUUCGCCUCGACCCCACGACGGAGAUCACUGCCAAGAGCAAGUCCGAGGCAACCUGUCAAGAAUCGAAAGUUUUGCAAGAGCAACUUAAUCUGGAUACUCUCUUGUCCGACCUUAAGGAACUCGAAGGCGAUCAGGGUUCUCUUCAAAGUAAUCAGGCCCAGAAUCCAUCAUCCGCAGCUGCACCCACCGCUAGUUCAACGCCGCAGCAGAAGGAGUCGGUAUUCUUGAGAUUGUCCAAUAGAAUCAAGGCUCUCGAGAGGAACAUGUCAUUGAGCGGACAGUACCUAGAGGAGCUGAGUCGGCGUUACAAGAAACAGGUAGAGGAGAUGCAACGGUCCUUGGAACGAGCGGUGGCGUCAAUGAACGAGGAGUCCCGCAGAAGCGAGGAGCGGGAGAGCAGGCAGCUGGAGGAAAUUGCGACGCUCAAGGGAGAGAUCGCGAGCCUUUCGGAGGCCUUGCAGGAGUUUCUUUGCGAUCGAGAGAGCUGGCGCAGCCGAUUCGGGGCGAUCUUCCAACACGCGGUGUUCGCGUGUCUGGAAAUCGCGAUCGUUCUGUCGAUUCUCACCUACAGGCGACGUUCGUCGAACCACCCGGAACGGGUCACGACAACGUUACAAGUGCGCCCAAUUCGAAGGCAUAGCGCCGAAGUGUCGACCAAUCCGAAGAAGACCAAACGGCGGCGGUCCAGUGACGUUCCUUCGGGCAGCGUCGAACCCGCCUAUCGGGGACACGCGGCGGAGCACCGACCAGCGGGAAGCCAAGAGGGCAAGAAGAGACGCAAGAGAAAACGCGAAUCGACGAGUCUCGUUCCAGCGACCACGGCCGAAAGACUCGGGACCUCCGGUUCGGUCGACCCGCCCGCGAGGAGAGUCUCCUCCCCGGACGCGCCGAACUUUUACGGAUGCGGAUCCUCGGCGGGGCGGACGGACGCUGCGAAGCCCGGAGAGGAGGUCAACGGGCCAACCUCGUGCUCCUCCUCCAACUCGGAGAAAGAGACUGGCGGAUGGCGGAACCUACCCGGAGGCAAGGUGAGCUCGCUGUCAACGAUCGGGACCGCUCUCGCCUCGAGGAGCAAGAGGCCCUUCUCCGGAGCCUCGAGAUCGGACAACUUCGAUUCCUCGGGUAGACGGGACGCCGCGGCCACGGUGGUCGGGGCGAACGGUACGAACGCGAGGUGCGUCGCCGGGGAGGAGAGCGACGGUGCCACGCCGGUUACCGGAAAGAAGGAAAAAAAGACCACAGGGUUUAGGAAAAUGGUGAGGAAACUUUUCUGAUUGGAGUUACGGAAGGGUGCUCGUGCCGAAACCUUGAUACUUAGGAGCGAACGCUAGAAACGCAACGAGCCAAGGGGUUCUCGUAGAACGCUGACGUAGGUAACCUCUAGAGUCAAGGGCAAACGCUCGGCGCUAUAGAAAGGAAGAAGCGGAGACCGAGAACUACCACGAGGCAACGACGAAGCUUCGGAGGACGGUAAGGGACCGAAUCGGAUCGCGGAGUUAACCGGAGAAGCGGCCGAAGAGUUGAGUCCGUUUCCUCGGGAGCCUGACUGACCCGAAUAAGAAAAUGGAUGCCUACUUUCUUGGAACGUUUUGCGAGCUCGAUGAAACCUAAGGAUUGGGCUUUGGCCUUGCGACUUCGAGUGCCAAAUCAGUGGUCUUUGAGUAAACGCGUAGAGACCGACGGACGUGGAUGCCUUCCCUUCGUCCAGAGUACCAGGGUACGAAGGCAAGCGGUCGUGUUCGUCAGGGUACAAAGCUCGUUAUCGUUAUCGUUAUCGUUAAAGCCUAACGUCUCGGGACAAUUUCUGGAUGAAAGGUAAACGGAAAGGCUUUAAACGAGAAACCGCGAUACAUAUUGAAAUCUUUGACGAAGCCUACAAACUUUGUGGAAAAGCGUUUAACGUAUUAAUUAGUCUCGGUGUAGUUAGAAUAUCAAAUUAAUUAAAAUUGAUCGAUUCGAA